CGAACGCUGGCGGCGCGUUUUAAACAUGCAAGUCGUACGAGAACCCCGGUGCUUGCAUUGGGGGGAGAGUGGCGAACGGGUGAGUAACACGUGGAUUAUCUGCCUUCAGGUCUGGGAUAACCCCGGGAAACCGGGGCUAAUACCGGAUAAUAUGGCAACAUUAAAGGUGGGGACCUUCGGGCCUAUCGCCUGAAGAUGAGUCCGCGUCCCAUUAGCUUGUUGGUGGGGUAAUGGCCUACCAAGGCGACGAUGGGUAGCCGGCCUGAGAGGGUGUACGGCCACAUUGGGACUGAGAUACGGCCCAGACUCCUACGGGAGGCAGCAGUUAAGAAUCUUGCGCAAUGGGCGAAAGCCUGACGCAGCGACGCCGCGUGGACGAUGAAGGCCUUCGGGUUGUAAAGUCCGGUAAGCAGGGAAGAAUAAGUGUAAAGUAAUAUCUUGCACGAUGACGGUACCUGCCUAAAGCCCCGGCUAACUACGUGCCAGCAGCCGCGGUAAUACGUAUGGGGCAAGCGUUGUUCGGAAUUAUUGGGCAUAAAGGGCGUCUAGGCGGGGGACUAAGUUAGGUGUGAAAGCCAUGGGCUCAACCCAUGAAUUGCACCUAAAACUGGUUUUCUUGAGUUCGGGAGAGGAGAGCGGAAUUCCCGGUGUAGCGGUGAAAUGCGUAGAUAUCGGGAAGAACACCAGUGGCGAAGGCGGCUCUCUGGCCUAGAACUGACGCUGAAGCGCGAAAGCCGUGGGGAGCGAACGGGAUUAGAUACCCCGGUAGUCCAGGCGGUGAACGGGGGGGACUAGGUGGGAGUGGCGGGAGCACUAGUGCCCGUCGCAGAGCGCAGAGAGUACACCGCCUGGGGAGUACGGUGGGCAAGGAUGAAAGGUCAAAGGAAUGGACGGGGGCCCGCACAAGCGCUGGAGCAUGUGGGGGAAGUCGAUGAUACGCGAAGAGCCUUACGUGGGCUUGAACUGUACUUGAUCGGUGUAGAGAUACACCCUCGUUCGGGCAGGUGCAGAGGUGCUGCAUGGUUGUCGUCAGCUCGUGUCGUGAGAUGUUGGGUUAAGUCCCGCAACGAGCGCAACCCUUACCCCUUGUUGCCAUCAGGUAAUGCUGAGCACUCUAGGGGAACUGUCGGUGAUAAACCGGAGGAAGGUGGGGAUGACGUCAAAUCAUCACGGCCCUUAUGUCCAGGGCUACACACGUGCUACAAUGGCCGGUACAAUGAGUUGCGAGACCGCGAGGUGGAGCUAAUCUCAAAAAACCGGUCUCAGUUCGGAUUGCAGUCUGCAACUCGACUGCAUGAAGCUGGAAUCGCUAGUAGUCGCGGAUCAGCACGCCGCGGUGAUACGUUCCCGGGCCUUGUACACACCGCCCGUCACACCACCCGAGUUGGCAGCACCCGAAGUGGCUGAUCUAACUUCGUGAGGAAGGUUAC
Molecule: ribosomal RNA, 1430 nt
Filed under: uncultured organism
Description: bacterial SSU rRNA
Rfam family: Bacterial small subunit ribosomal RNA
Source: RNAcentral